This 253-nucleotide ribosomal RNA is filed under the name uncultured bacterium. Its description in RNAcentral is "partial 16S ribosomal RNA". It matches the Rfam family "Bacterial small subunit ribosomal RNA", at positions 524 to 776 of the family's 1533-position model. The record is from RNAcentral.
UACAGAGGGGGCAAGCGUUGUUCGGAAUUACUGGGCGUAAAGGGCGCGUAGGCGGCCUUCUAAGUCGAACGUGAAAUCCCCGGGCUCAACCCGGGAACUGCGUCCGAUACUGGAAGGCUUGAAUCCGGGAGAGGAACGCGGAAUUCCAGGUGUAGCGGUGAAAUGCGUAGAUAUCUGGAGGAACACCGGUGGCGAAGGCGGCGUUCUGGACUGCAACUGACACUGAGAGACGAAAGCCAGGGGAGCAAACGGG